AUGAACGCUGGCGGCGUGCCUCAUACAUGCCAGUCGAGCGAACGGACGAGAAGCUUGCUUCUCUGAUGUUAGCGGCGGACGGGUGAGUAACACGUGGAUAACCUACCUAUAAGACUGGGAUAACUUCGGGAAACCGGAGCUAAUACCGGAUGAUAUUUUGAACCGCAUGGUUCAAAAGUGAAAGACGGUCUUGCUGUCACUUAUAGAUGGAUCCGCGCUGCAUUAGCUAGUUGGUAAGGUAACGGCUUACCAAGGCAACGAUGCAUAGCCGACCUGAGAGGGUGAUCGGCCACACUGGAACUGAGACACGGUCCAGACUCCUACGGGAGGCAGCAGUAGGGAAUCUUCCGCAAUGGGCGAAAGCCUGACGGAGCAACGCCGCGUGAGUGAUGAAGGUCUUCGGAUCGUAAAACUCUGUUAUUAGGGAAGAACAUAUGUGUAAGUAACUGUGCACAUCUUGACGGUACCUAAUCAGAAAGCCACGGCUAACUACGUG
RNAcentral lists this ribosomal RNA (496 nucleotides) under uncultured bacterium. RNAcentral describes it as "partial 16S ribosomal RNA". It matches the Rfam family "Bacterial small subunit ribosomal RNA", at positions 29 to 507 of the family's 1533-position model. The record is from RNAcentral.